Etheostoma cragini (Arkansas darter) is the source of this 149-nucleotide long non-coding RNA. RefSeq lists it as uncharacterized. Lineage: Eukaryota; Metazoa; Chordata; Actinopteri; Perciformes; Percidae. The transcript has 3 exons. The record is from RefSeq and is a predicted model, not a curated record.
CAGCACAGGGGUUAUAAACGUCAAACACUAGAGGCACAGGCUGUGCACCAAAUUACAACAAACCACUCCAGCCAAUCCCAGACAAGAUGGUUGAAGGAGGGGGUUGGAGGUUAGUGACAGUUAGUCAAUUAGUCCUGCCAGUUACCGAA